GGGGUUUAAUUUUGGGUUUUCCCGGGGGUACGGGCCGGCUUAGAGGGGGGUGGGGGGUAAAUGGAAUUUCCUGGGGGGGGGGGGGGAAGGGCCCGGUUUCCGGGGGGAACCCCGAUGGGGAAGGCCGGGUUCUUGGGCCCCCCCUGCCGCGGAGGAGCGAAAGGGGGGGGUGGGGACCAGGAUUAGAUUCCCCGGGUAGUCCACCCCGUAAACGUGGGGCACUAGGUGUGGGGCCUUUCCAUGGGUUCUGCGCCGGUAGCUAACGCAUUAAGUGCCCCGCCGGGGGAGUACGGCCGCAAGGCUAAAACUCAAAGGAAUUGACGGGGGCCCGCACAAGCGGCGGAGCAUGCGGAUUAAUUCGAUGCAACGCGAAGAACCUUACCAAGGCUUGACAUACACCGGAAUCAUGCAGAGAUGUGUGAGUCUUCGGACUGGUGUACAGGUGGUGCAUGGUUGUCGUCAGCUCGUGUCGUGAGAUGUUGGGUUAAGUCCCGCAACGAGCGCAACCCUUGUCUCGUGUUGCCAGCAUUUAGUUGGGGACUCACGAGAGACUGCCGGGGUUAACUCGGAGGAAGGUGGGGAUGACGUCAAAUCAUCAUGCCCCUUAUGUCUUGGGCUUCACGCAUGCUACAAUGGCAAGUACAGAGUGUUGCGAGCCUGUGAGGGUGAGCGAAUCACUUAAAGCUUGUCUCAGUUCGGAUUGGGGUCUGCAACUCGACCCCAUGAAGUCGGAGUCGCUAGUAAUCGCAGAACAGCAACGCUGCGGUGAAUACGUUCUCGGGCCUUGUACUCACCGCCCGUCAAG
Molecule: ribosomal RNA, 805 nt
Filed under: uncultured bacterium
Lineage: Bacteria
Description: partial 16S ribosomal RNA
Rfam family: Bacterial small subunit ribosomal RNA
Source: RNAcentral